CUGGGCAGCUGGUGAUCGUUGGUCCCGGC
This 29-nucleotide non-coding RNA is filed under the name Cricetulus griseus (Chinese hamster). Lineage: Eukaryota; Metazoa; Chordata; Mammalia; Rodentia; Cricetidae. The record is from RNAcentral.